UAUAUCUUCAAACUUUGACCUCAAAUCAGGUAGGACUACCCGCUGGACUUAAGCAUAUCAAUAAGCGGAGGA
This 72-nucleotide ribosomal RNA is filed under the name uncultured soil eukaryote. Its description in RNAcentral is "partial 28S ribosomal RNA". The stretch from base 16 to 72 matches the Rfam family "Eukaryotic large subunit ribosomal RNA", at positions 1 to 57 of the family's 3401-position model. The record is from RNAcentral.